CGGGGUGAGUAAUGUAUGGGGAUCUGCCUGAUGGCGGGGGAUAACUACUGGAAACGGUAGCUAAUACCGCAUAACGUCGCAAGACCAAAGAGGGGACCUUCGGGCCUCUUGCCAUCGGAUGUGCCCAGAUGGGAUUAGCUAGUAGGUGGGGUAACGGCUCACCUAGGCGACGAUCCCUAGCUGGUCUGAGAGGAUGACCAGCCACACUGGAACUGAGACACGGUCCAG
RNAcentral lists this ribosomal RNA (228 nucleotides) under uncultured bacterium. RNAcentral describes it as "partial 16S ribosomal RNA". It matches the Rfam family "Bacterial small subunit ribosomal RNA", at positions 104 to 334 of the family's 1533-position model. The record is from RNAcentral.